CCCCUAGAUGUUCUGGGCCGCACGCGCGCUACACUGAACAGUUCAACAAGUCUUAACCUUGGCCGAUAGGUCUGGGUAAUCUUUGAACGCUGUUCGUGAUUGGGAUAGACUUUUGCAAUUUUUGGUCUUCAACGAGGAAUUCCUAGUAAACGCAAGUCAUCAACUUGCAUUGAUUACGUCCCUGCCCUUUGUACACACCGCCCGUCGCACCUACCGAUUGAAUGGUCCGGUGAAGCCUCCGGAUUGGCGCGCACCUCGGUGCCGCCGAGAAGUUGGCUAAACCUUACCAUUUAGAGGAAGGUGAAGUCGUAACA
RNAcentral lists this ribosomal RNA (314 nucleotides) under uncultured eukaryote. RNAcentral's name for it is "partial 18S ribosomal RNA". It matches the Rfam family "Eukaryotic small subunit ribosomal RNA", at positions 1470 to 1796 of the family's 1831-position model. The record is from RNAcentral.